ACUGCACACUAGUAGAGCUUGGAGUUGAGGCCACUGGCUGGCCGAUGAACUCUCAAGUGUAGGUGGUAUGCUACAUGAGGGGCAAGUCUUUUUGCGAACACCACAGGGUCUCUGGCCCAAUAAGUGGAGUUUGGUAGUAAUUCUUGCUAUAAGU
This 154-nucleotide small nucleolar RNA is filed under the name Suricata suricatta (meerkat). The record is from RNAcentral. Lineage: Eukaryota; Metazoa; Chordata; Mammalia; Carnivora; Herpestidae.